RNAcentral lists this ribosomal RNA (254 nucleotides) under uncultured bacterium. RNAcentral describes it as "partial 16S ribosomal RNA". It matches the Rfam family "Bacterial small subunit ribosomal RNA", at positions 524 to 776 of the family's 1533-position model. The record is from RNAcentral.
UACGUAGGGGGCUAGCGUUGUCCGGAAUCAUUGGGCGUAAAGCGCGCGUAGGCGGCUCGGAAAGUCGGUCGUGAAAUGCCGGGGCUCAACCCCGGGACUGCGUCCGAUACUGGCGGGCUUGAAUCCGGGAGAGGGAUGCGGAAUUCCAGGUGUAGCGGUGAAAUGCGUAGAUAUCUGGAGGAACACCGGUGGCGAAGGCGGCAUCCUGGACCGGCAGUUGACGCUGAGGCGCGAAAGCGUGGGGAGCAAACAGG